AGAGACUUAGGAUAACAUAGACCAAAGGCCUUCAAAGCCUAAAGCAGAAGAUAAAACCUUCUAGCCUCUG
This 70-nucleotide transfer RNA is filed under the name Epicrionops cf. marmoratus UMMZ 190478. RNAcentral describes it as "tRNA-Trp". It matches the Rfam family "tRNA". Rfam says of the family: Transfer RNA (tRNA) molecules are approximately 80 nucleotides in length. Their secondary structure includes four short double-helical elements and three loops (D, anti-codon, and T loops). Lineage: Eukaryota; Metazoa; Chordata; Amphibia; Gymnophiona; Rhinatrematidae. The record is from RNAcentral.